GAGUUUGAUCCUGGCUCAGAACAAACGCUGGCGGCGUGCCUUAAGCAUGCAAGUUGAGCGGCAAGGAGGAAGAUCCUCCCUAGAGCGGCGGACUGGUGAGUAACGCGUGGGAAUCUAUCAUAGGCAUGGGGAUAGUCACUAGAAAUAGUGGGUAAUACCGAAUACGUUCCAUGAGGGGAGUAUAUGGAAGAAAGGGUGCUACGGCCCUUGGUGAGCUCGCGUCCCAUUAGCUAGUUGGUGAGGUAAAGGCCCACCAAGGCGAUGAUGGGUAGCGGCCUGAGAGGGUGUACGGCCACACUGGGACUGAGAUACGGCCCAGACUCCUACGGGAGGCAGCAGCUAAGAAUAUUCCGCAAUGGACGAAAGUCUGACGGAGCGACGCCGCGUGGAUGAAGAAGGCCGAAAGGUUGUAAAGUUCUUUUGCUAGGGGAGAAUAAGUGAGGAGGAAUGCCCUCAUGAUGACAAGGACUAGCGAAUAAGCCCCGGCCAACUACGUGCCAGCAGCCGCGGUAACACGUAGGGGGCGAGCGUUGUUCGGAAUUACUGGGCGUAAAGCGUGCGCAGGCGGUUUUGUAAGACAGGUGUGAAAUCCCCGGGCUUAACCUGGGAACUGCGCUUGUGACUGCAAGACUUGAGUGCGGCAGAGGGGGGUGGAAUUCCACGUGUAGCAGUGAAAUGCGUAGAGAUGUGGAGGAACACCGAUGGCGAAGGCAGCCCCCUGGGUCGACACUGACGCUCAUGCACGAAAGCGUGGGGAGCAAACAGGAUUAGAUACCCUGGUAGUCCACGCCCUAAACGAUGCGAACUAGGUGUUGGGGAAGGGAUUCUUUAGUACCGUAGCUAACGCGUGAAGUUCGCCGCCUGGGGAGUACGGUCGCAAGAUUAAAACUCAAAGGAAUUGACGGGGACCCGCACAAGCGGUGGAUGAUGUGGAUUAAUUCGAUGCAACGCGAAAAACCUUACCUACCCUUGACAUGUCCGGAAUCCUGGUGAGAGCUGGGGGUGCCGAAAGGAACCGGAACACAGGUGCUGCAUGGCUGUCGUCAGCUCGUGUCAUGAGAUGUUGGGUUAAGUCCCGCAACGAGCGCAACCCUUACCUUUAGUUGCUACGCAGAGCACUCUAAAGGGACUGCCAUUGACAAAACGGAGGAAGGUGGGGAUGACGUCAAAUCAUCAUGCCCCUUAUGACCUGGGCUACACACGUACUACAAUGGCAAUUACAAAGAGAAGCGAGACGGUGACGUGGAGCGAAUCUCAAAAAAUUGUCCCAGUUCAGAUUGCAGGCUGCAACUCGCCUGCAUGAAGUCGGAAUUGCUAGUAAUCGCGGAUCAGAUGCCGCGGUGAAUACGUUCCCGGGCCUUGUACACACCGCCCGUCACACCAUGGGAGUCGGUAACACCCGAAGUCGGUAGUCUAACAGCAAUGAGGACGCCGCCGAAGGUGGGAUUGAUGACUGGGGUGAAGUCGUAACAAGGUAGCCGUAUCGGAAGGUGCGGCUGGAUCACCU
This 1507-nucleotide ribosomal RNA is filed under the name uncultured bacterium. Its description in RNAcentral is "partial 16S ribosomal RNA". It matches the Rfam family "Bacterial small subunit ribosomal RNA". The record is from RNAcentral.